This is an RNA transcript of Boleophthalmus pectinirostris (great blue-spotted mudskipper), 2279 nucleotides long. It is a transcript of the gene named alcohol dehydrogenase class-3-like, with no coding region annotated. Lineage: Eukaryota; Metazoa; Chordata; Actinopteri; Gobiiformes; Gobiidae. The transcript is spliced from 9 exons. The record is from RefSeq and is a predicted model, not a curated record.
CGCGCGUGGACGUAGUUUAUUGGACUCCGCCCCAAAUAAGGACAAGCCCCAGCACGUUUAUAAAAGCCAUCAUGAGCCUGUUGAGCCUGUUACGACGCAGGGCUCUGUAAACAUGUCAACAGAAGGCAAAGUGAUCACAUGCAAAGCAGCGGUGGCGUGGGGCGCAGGCACAGCUCUGGUCGUAGAGGAUGUGCAGGUGGAUCCGCCCAAAGCUCACGAAGUGCGCAUCAAGAUGCUGUACAGUGGAGUGUGCCACACAGACCUGACCUACCUGUAUGGUACGGGGAAAGGCGCGUCGACGCGGCCUUUCCCCUUGAUCCUGGGACACGAGGGGGCCGGGGUGGUGGAGAGUGUGGGCCCCGGGGUGACCAACGUCAGCCCAGGAGACAAAGUGAUCCCUCUGUACCUGCCUCAGUGUAGAGAGUGUGAGAGGUGCAAGAGCCCCAGGACCAACCAGUGCAGGAAGAACUGGAAGACCAAUAUGAUGGGCAUGAUGGCAGAUGGGACCAGCCGUGUGUCGUGGAAUGAUCAGCAGGUGCGCCAGUUCAUGGGCGUGUCUACUCUGUCCCAGUACACUGUGGUGGCUGAUAUUUCUGUGGCUAAGAUCCACCAGGAUGCUCCCCUGGACAAAGUGUACCUGCUGGGCUGUGGGGUGUCCACCGGGUACGGGGCAGCAUGUAAGACUGCACAGGUAGAGAAGGAUUCCACCUGUGCCGUGUUCGGCCUGGGCGCUGUGGGCUUGGCUGCGGUGAUGGGCUGUAGAGCUGCGGGCGCCUCCAAGAUCAUCGCCGUGGAUAUCAAUCCAAAGAAGUUCAAACUGGCCCAAGAGCUAGGGGCCACAGAGUGCAUCAACCCCCUGGACCAUAAGCCCCGGCCCAUCCAGGAGGUCCUGAAGGAGAAGACCCAGGGAGGGGUGGACUAUGCACUGGAGUGUGUGGGCAACCCUACUGUCACGUCUGAGGCUCUGGAGUCCACUGUGGAUGCGUGGGGUGUCUGUGUGGCGGUGGGCUGGUCUGACGCUGGGCCAAUCAAUGUUGACGUGGAUGAGCUGCUCGUGGGACGCACGCUCAAGGGGACAUACUUUGGAGGUGAGGGUGUAAGGGAGCUGACUAUGUUCCUGUUCUGGUGGACAAAUACAUGAAGAAAGAGCUGAAACUUGAUGAGUUUAUCACACACAGGCUGAGCUUAGGCGAGGUCAACAAAGCCCUGGAGCUGUUGAAGACUGGAGAGAGUAUCCGUUCAGUCAUCAGCCUUUGGUAGAGGAGUCCACAUUAAGUCUCCUGAAGCUCUCUGGAAGUACUGUACAGUUCCCCGUUUUAUCACUAGAUGUCCUUCUAACACCAGGGAUAACAUCAUCACAGACCAUGGUUUUCCACCAGCACCAGAUUCUGUAAAUACUCUCUUAACUAUGCAAAGAUUAAAAAGGGGUAUUUUACAAAGUAGAUUUUUUUUUCAUCCAUGGACGUUUUAGUAAUUAAUCUCUCAUGGGCACUAUUCAAACCCUCCUUACGGUUAGCUGUAAGAUUCUGUCAACACUCCACCCACAAGUCUACGUCACCCAUGCUCCCACACGACAAUUCUAAAUAUACAAAAGCACGAUAUCAAACUGUACACAACAAUUUUACAAACCUGAUGUGCAGUAGUUUCAUUAGCAGAAUGCACAGCACUCUUAAGAGGGACUGACCUUUGAUUCAGAGCAUAAAAAAACUUAAAAGUGACACUUAUAAACAUGUUAAUAUCAAAUCAGUAAAAGGUAACAUUGUGAUCUAAAUAUGUAAUGUGUUGGCAAUUAAUAACACUGAAGUAAAAUCCCUCUUUUGAAAUGGUGUCACUGUUUUUGUACUUGCAUUGUGUAUGCAUUGCAGUUUAAUGAAGACCUCUCAGGCCUUUGAAGACAUUUGUUCAUUUUGAUGUUAUUCGUGGUUUGAGAUGAAAUAUUUACCCUUUUGUGGUAUAUUUUAUUUAAUUGUUUGGGGGGUUUUUUUGCCUAAUUUUUGAUAAUUUGAAUCCUGUAGGAGCCCUCUGCAUCAGGAGCAGAGGUCGGCUGUAGCUGUCGGGUCUGUCCCGUGGGCUCCUGGUGGAGAGUUGGAGCUUGGGCUUCAUCUCUCCCCUGGCUCCUGUGGUGGUUCCUGGUGGUGGUGGACGUCUCUCUGCUCCUGAUGUAGACGGCUCCUCUGAUGGUGCUUUCUCAACUGGUUCGCCUGUAUUCAGCCUCACAUUUUACUAUGUGUCGUUUUAUGUAUUUUAGCAUGUUAAUGUGUGUGGGGGUUGGGUUGGGU